UUGAAGGGGUGCAUAUAUUAGAAAAAGGAGACCUUUAGAAAUCAACCAUUGUUAUAAUUUGAAUCCUGGAGCACUUUGCUAAGCCCACGAGUGCGUAACAUGCGAUCUACGUACAGUAUGCAUAGCAGAUUGUUCCCAGGAGCAGACAAUCUUUUGUUUAAACGUUAUUUCAAUUUCUAAAGGUCUCCUUUUUCUAAUAUA
Non-coding RNA from Paramuricea clavata, 201 nucleotides. Lineage: Eukaryota; Metazoa; Cnidaria; Anthozoa; Malacalcyonacea; Plexauridae. The record is from the annotation of a GenBank genome assembly.